AAUCCAUAGGUUAAUGAGGCGAACCGGGGGAACUGAAACAUCUAAGUACCCCGAGGAAAAGAAAUCAACCGAGAUUCCCCCAGUAGCGGCGAGCGAACGGGGAGGAGCCCAGAGCCUGAAUCAGCAUGUGUGUUAGUGGAAGCGUCUGGAAAGGCGCGCGAUACAGGGUGACAGCCCCGUACACAAAAGCGCAUGUGCUGUGAGCUCGAUGAGUAGGGCGGGACACGUGGUAUCCUGUCUGAAUAUGGGGGGACCAUCCUCCAAGGCUAAAUACUCCUGACUGACCGAUAGUGAACCAGUACCGUGAGGGAAAGGCGAAAAGAACCCCGGCGAGGGGAGUGAAAAAGAACCUGAAACCGUGUACGUACAAGCAGUGGGAGCCCCACCACCAAAGCAUUCUCUGGUGUUGAAGGCCCUGCAAAGCAGCAUCGCGGUGGCGGAGCGUCGUUUGCGACGCCCAACACACAAAACAAGCGGUGAAU
Molecule: ribosomal RNA, 482 nt
Filed under: Salmonella enterica subsp. enterica serovar Typhimurium
Lineage: Bacteria; Pseudomonadati; Pseudomonadota; Gammaproteobacteria; Enterobacterales; Enterobacteriaceae
Description: partial 23S ribosomal RNA
Rfam family: Bacterial large subunit ribosomal RNA (bases 1-366)
Source: RNAcentral